Molecule: unclassified non-coding RNA, 117 nt
Organism: Pongo abelii (Sumatran orangutan)
Lineage: Eukaryota; Metazoa; Chordata; Mammalia; Primates; Hominidae
Rfam family: Metazoan signal recognition particle RNA
About the family: The signal recognition particle (SRP) is a universally conserved ribonucleoprotein. It is involved in the co-translational targeting of proteins to membranes.
Source: Ensembl
GCUGGGCAUGAUGGCUUAUGCCUGUAAUCCCAGCACUUUGGGAGGCCAAGGCGGGUGGAUCACCUGAGGUCAGGAGUUCGAGACUAGCCUGACCAACAUGGUGAAACCCCGUCUCUA